This is a long non-coding RNA of Musa acuminata AAA Group (dessert banana), 1431 nucleotides long. RefSeq lists it as uncharacterized. The transcript has 4 exons. NCBI's taxonomy places the organism in Eukaryota, Viridiplantae, Streptophyta, Magnoliopsida, Zingiberales, Musaceae. The record is from RefSeq and is a predicted model, not a curated record.
UUACAUUUCAUUCAGUUUGUUCGACUCAAGUCCGAUCGACUUGGCCGGAAGCCCACCGAAGGCCCGAAAGCCUGUGUUUUUUGGGGCAGCAGUCGCGGGUCGCCGGCCAAGUUCCUCCAAGAGAGGGAGAAGGCCCACAGGAACCCGCAAGGUGGCCAUUCAACUGGAUCGAGGGCGCCAACCCUCCAGCUUGCCGCCUCUGCCUUUCGCAACCUCGUCCACGACUCCUUUGAUCCCGUCGAACACCGGGCCGGACGGUGGUUGAUUGAUGCUUUGGGUAUUCAUGGUCGAGCAUGAGCUUGCAUUACUUGUCUAUCACUGAGUUCAAACUCACUCUUUUCUACAUUUAUGAUUAAUUUCCAACAGAAGCUGAUGAAGGGAGCCCAUUUUAGUCCUCGAUGCCUCUUAUAUUGCAUAAACCAACAUGCACUGUGAAGAUGAAGACUAGGAGGAAGAAGAACAAAACCAUGCUGAUCAUUUAGAUCAGUAUAGAGGGGAAGGCAAAUUAAAAUUGAUAUGAGCGCGUGGUAGUCACAGAAACUAAGAAUCAGACUCUUCAUCUCCAGGCUCGCUGGUCUCCUUGGGAUGACCUUUGUCCAUUUUAAACAUCAUACAUACUUCUUGGGAGUCCUCAUUCUUUUCUGUUGUAACUUCUAGCUAUUACCUUGUACACAGAUACUGUAUGAAUAGUCUCUUAUUAAUUAAGAAAGGAAGAAUUCCUAGCUUUCUUUAGUUAUAGAAAGUGUUGGAAAAUCAUCAUUGCUCUCACAUAAAGAGGGGAAUGGCAAUUCAUUGUUAUUUUCUGAGCUUUGAUGUCUUUUUGCUUCUUUCAGUCUCAUUUUCUUCUAAAUUAUGCAUCCUAUUUAUUGUACUGGAUUCCUAGGAUUAAAUUGGGUUAUGGUGUUCCUGAUCUUCAUAUUAAAUCUAGGAACUUCAUUCACUGAUUUCUGAAAUGGGUGCUCUAUGAAAAGAGAUUUGAUUUUGUAAGCCUUCUGAAUAAUGCAACUGCAAUGACAAAUCCACUGAGUCUCAGAAAUCUCCUUCGAGGUAGAAAUAGAGUACACUCUGAAUUAGAUACAUUCUCUUUUAUCAUCACAUGGCGUUGGAAGCUUGUUUAUUGUUUUUGUCUCUGUUUCAGGAGUAUCUAAUCCAGGAUCUGCCAUCCAUCAGGGUCGCAUCCACCUCAAUGGACGAGCGAUGUGACUCGAAUGAGGUAGCAAAGAAAGCCUGGAGAAAGAUGGUCGGUAAUCGUGCGACCCCUCAGUACUAUCUCAGGAAGCUGCCUAUGCUCCAACCUUUUGCAAGUGCUAAGAGCAAAGCUUUUCUAAGCCAUCAAGAAUCAUGAACAGGAGGAGCCCUCUGCAUCUGUUUUGCAUCCCUGUGAAUGAUCACCACCUUAGCAAGUCUGUCUAUUCAUGCUCAUGUUUUUAG